UGAGGAAUUUUGCUCAAUGGGCGCAAGCCUGAAGCAGCGACGCCACGUGAAUGAUGAAGUCUUUCGGGAUGUAAAGUUCUGUCGGCAAGGAAAAUAAUGAUGGUACUUGCAAAGGAAGCACCGGCAAACUAUGUGCCAGCAGCCGCGGUAAUACAUAGGGUGCAAGCGUUGUCCGGAUUUACUGGGCGUAAAGAGCGUGUAGGUGGUUAGAUAAGUCAAACUUUAAAGGCUGAGGCUCAACUUCAGUUCGGGUUUGAUACUGUCUUGCUAGAGGUUGGGAGAGGAUAGCGGAACAAACAGUGUAGCGGUGAAAUGCGUAGAUAUUGUUUGGAACACCCGUGGCGAAGGCGGCUAUCUGGACCAAAUCUGACACUGAGACGCGAGAGCGUGGGGAUCAAACAGG
RNAcentral lists this ribosomal RNA (403 nucleotides) under uncultured bacterium. RNAcentral's name for it is "bacterial SSU rRNA". It matches the Rfam family "Bacterial small subunit ribosomal RNA", at positions 355 to 776 of the family's 1533-position model. The record is from RNAcentral.